This is an RNA transcript of Rhipicephalus sanguineus (brown dog tick), 1602 nucleotides long. RefSeq lists it as uncharacterized. NCBI's taxonomy places the organism in Eukaryota, Metazoa, Arthropoda, Arachnida, Ixodida, Ixodidae. The transcript has 3 exons. The record is from RefSeq and is a predicted model, not a curated record.
AUGUGAAUUCGGUGUUCCGGUACAUAUUGCUCAUGAUAGUACGUCGUAUACAACACAAUAACGCAUGCCGAUACUGUCGUGCCGUACUCUUGUACUGUGCCGCUAAACUGCUACAUCUGAUAUGCAUCCACAUGGUAAUACUUAUGCUGACUGUGUUAUUCCUUUCACAUUUCAUGCGUAGAGAUACAUGCAGGGGUGUUUGGAUAUAUGUAGUAUUUAUGAUUUAAGAAUGGUCAACAAGCGGUUGUAUGUUCUUUUCGAGUCAUGCUCCCACGGCACCAAUGAGCAGCGGGCGACCAAACAGCCGACUUGCUAGAUGCUUACACACUUUUCCCAUAGUGCCUGCGAGGCAUUCUGGGAUUGCUUGAAAAGGUCUAUUGAGCAGCUCUGAAAAAUUAAUUCAGUGGCCUUCCUGUAUCAUAACAGCACUUUUUUUUCUGUGUCCAUUUGUAGGUGUGAAGUGUCCUUGAACUGUAACAUAUAAAUGGGUGCAGACAUCCUAUCCUAUUGCAUGCUUUCACAGUAAUGCAGCAGCUUGGUCUUGAAGUAGUGCGUGUGUGCAGCUGUGGCAAAAUUUUGUUUUGGUUACAGUUCAGUACCACUAAUGAUGUGCAUAUUCGCUGCUCUGACCACUUAUGUCACAAGCAGUCUAUGCUGUAAUGUCUCUGCCAAAGUGGUCAUCUUUAACAGUAUGCGGCACAGUGCACAGUUAUUGAACGUAAAUUUGAUGUAGAAGUGUUUGAAUUCAUUCAAAGCUCACUGUCGUGCUUUUUCUUUCAUCUCACUUGCCUCAGUCUGGCAAAAGCACGUGUAUCAACGGCGCCUAAAGACUCUAAACAAAUGUUUGGAACAUAGGUACAACACUGAGCAAACAUUGGCAUCAUUAUUUUCUGAACAGUUGCUGACGUUGCAAAAUAUUUUCUUUGCACUCUUACAUUUACAGGUAUAAUAAUAACUUUUCUAGCUUACGGAACAGUGGAGCUUGAAUUCUAACAGUUUAGCAUUUGUUGAUUUUGCUCCAUGAACAGGUUCAGCACAAAGUGUUGCUACAGCAGCAACAACUGCGCCUGCUACUGAGUCUGCUGCCACCUCAUAUCCUGCAGCCAGACCAACUAAAUGUGCUGCCUCUUCUGGUCCUGCAGCCUUAGCAGUCACACUGCCUUCUGCCUCUGAUGCUGACAUGUCGCAGUGUUCGUUCAGCAAGGAUGAACAGCUAAGAUAAUCAAGGAUCCACAAGGAGUAUUAUAGGUUGACCAGCCUAACGGUUGGAUGCUCUCAAGGGCCGCCUCAAAAAAGGACUUUCAUUUGGUUCAGCGGUCCACCAUCGCAAUAUGGUGGACAGAUGCCCGCGUGCAUAGGAGCUUCCUGGGAACGAACCAUUUUGCAGCAGAAGGUGGCCAGAAGCCUGCACAGCAGCCAUUGUCCCCACACAAAGUGGAAGCAUAGAGAGUCUCUUCCAGGCACUACAGUGCUGCCCAAAGCCCUUCGGAAGAGGAAGCGAAACAGGCCGCCCAGAACACCAGGCUUUUGGCUGUCCCAGAAGACAUCCAAGUUGAGGCGAGGGCAGAAAAAAUAAACAGAGAAGUCAUUUUCAUUUCCAAA